This 523-nucleotide ribosomal RNA is filed under the name uncultured bacterium. RNAcentral describes it as "bacterial SSU rRNA". It matches the Rfam family "Bacterial small subunit ribosomal RNA", at positions 59 to 555 of the family's 1533-position model. The record is from RNAcentral.
AAUCUGAUCCUUCAGUUUUCGGACAAGAAGAAUCGGAGGACAGUGGCGGAAGGGUGAGGAAUACAUGGGUAAUCUAUCUUCAAGUUGGGUAUAACUCCGCGAAAGUGGAGAUAAUCCCGAAUGUGGUGAUCCGGCGCAUGCCGGAGAAUCUAAAGGCAGGGACCGCAAGGCCUGUCGCUUGAAGCUGAGCCCGUGCACUAUCAGCUAGUUGGUGAGGUAACGGCUCACCAAGGCUAUGACGGUUAGCUGGUCUGAGAGGAUGGUCAGCCACACUGGGACUGAGAUACUGCCCAGACUCCUACGGGAGGCUGCAGUCGAGAAUCAUUCGCAAUGGGCGAAAGCCUGACGGUGCGACGUCGCGUGGAGGAUGAAGGUCUUCGGAUUGUAAACUCCUGUCAUGUGGGAUAAAUGGCCAGGGCAGCAAUACUGCCUUGGAAUGAUAGUACCACAGGAGGAAGAGACGGCUAACUCUGUGCCAGCAGCCGCGGUAAUACAGAGGUCUCGAGCGUUGUUCGGAUUUACU